GGAUCUGUCGGUUGGUCGGGCUUCACUGUCCGCACUGGCCUGAUGGAUUCCUACCUUCUGAUUAACCAGCAUGCUAUUAAGUUAGUGCGUUGGGGAAGCAGAGCUAUUACCUUGAAAAAAUUAGAGUGCAUAAAGCAGGCUUGUGCUUGAAUAGAUUAGCAUGGAAUAAUAAAAUAGGACGGCGUGGUUCUAUUUUGUUGGUUUCUAGGAUCACUGUA
RNAcentral lists this ribosomal RNA (218 nucleotides) under Campeiostachys nutans. RNAcentral's name for it is "Elymus nutans partial small subunit ribosomal RNA". The stretch from base 47 to 218 matches the Rfam family "Eukaryotic small subunit ribosomal RNA", at positions 692 to 864 of the family's 1831-position model. The record is from RNAcentral. Lineage: Eukaryota; Viridiplantae; Streptophyta; Magnoliopsida; Poales; Poaceae.